GACGAACGCUGGCGGCGUGCCUAACACAUGCAAGUCGAACGAGGUCCAUCCUUCGGGAGAAGACCUAGUGGCGAACGGGUGAGUAACACGUGAAGAACCUGCCCCGAAGACCGGGAUAACCCUCCGAAAGGAGAGCUAAUACCGGAUACCCCCACCGAACCGCAUGGUUUGGUGAGGAAAUGGAUUCCGCUUCGGGAGGGCUUCGCGGCCUAUCAGCUAGUUGGUGGGGUAACGGCCACAAGGCAUCGACGGGUAGCUGGUCUGAGAGGACGAUCAGCCACACUGGGACUGAGACACGGCCCAGACUCCUACGGGAGGCAGCAGUGGGGAAUCUUGCGCAAUGGGCGAAAGCCUGACGCAGCAACGCCGCGUGGGGGAUGAAGGCUCUCGGGUUGUAAACCCCUUUCAGCAGGGACGAAUCAAGACGGUACCUGCAGAAGAAGCCCCGGCUAACUACGUGCCAGCAGCCGCGGUAAUAUUACCGCGGCCUGCUGGUUGGCAAGCCAGCCAAUGAUCCGUUCUACACG
This 527-nucleotide ribosomal RNA is filed under the name uncultured bacterium. RNAcentral's name for it is "bacterial SSU rRNA". It matches the Rfam family "Bacterial small subunit ribosomal RNA", at positions 30 to 543 of the family's 1533-position model. The record is from RNAcentral.